GACGAACGCUGGCGGCGUGCUUAACACAUGCAAGUCGAGCGGUAAGGCCCUUUCGGGGGUACACGAGCGGCGAACGGGUGAGUAACACGUGGGUGACCUGCCCUCAGCUCUGGGAUAAGCCUGGGAAACCGGGUCUAAUACUGGAUAUGACUCCAUGACGCAUGUUGUGGGGUGGAAAGCCUUGUGCGGCUGAGGAUGGGCCCGCGGCCUAUCAGCUUGUUGGGGGGUGAUGGCCUACCAAGGCGACGACGGGUAGUCCGGCCUGAGAGGGCGACCGGCCACACUGGGACUGAGACACGGCCCAGACUCCUACGGGAGGCAGCAGUGGGGAAUCUUGCGCAAUGGGCGAAAGCCUGACGCAGCGACGCCGCGUGAGGGAUGACGGCCUGGUGU
RNAcentral lists this ribosomal RNA (393 nucleotides) under uncultured bacterium. RNAcentral's name for it is "bacterial SSU rRNA". It matches the Rfam family "Bacterial small subunit ribosomal RNA", at positions 28 to 422 of the family's 1533-position model. The record is from RNAcentral.